GGGCCCCUGUCGCAAUUGUCGAUGGCUCCCCACCAGCAGCGUGACCAUGAACGCUGCUUAAUCCCGGUGGUGCCCACCACCUUCGCCUCCGAAGUCGCCACUUUGGUUCUCCUUGUCCUUGCCUUCCUCUGCUUCCUUGCGCUCCUCCUUGCCCCUCCCUUACUCAUUGCCACCACCCGCCUCUCUUCUCCUCCUAUUCGUAAAUGGCAGCAGCAAUUUUGUCGUCCACCUUCCUUUUGGCCAUCUGCUCUCACCGUAAAUGCCCCCCCCCCCCCCAAAAAAAAAAAAAAAAAAACCCUUUAGUGGCUCCUCAAACCUCACCCUUGCUUACGCCAAAUUGUUGAUUUGAAUUGCUUCCCUCUCUUUGAGGAAUCGCCUCCAGGUUUGCAACCAAAAGAAGCAGGUUGCUAUCAUCCCUAGAGAGAAGCCGUUGGAUAUAGGGUUGGAUUGGGCCUCAUGCUAGGUUUAGGCCUUGUUUGAGGCUGAUUUCAGGCGUGAAUCCAGGCUUGGUUUUUGGGUGUGGUCUAGGCUGGGCUAAGGAUCAACAUGAGCCUGGCCUGAAAUAUCUUCAGGCCUUACUUUGAGGUCCAAGCCCGAAUUGAAUUGCCUUGGGCGUAGCCCAUGGCCCAACCCUUAGAUGGCCUGUCCCGAUAGGGCAGACCCAUUUCCAGCCAUAAUUGUUAAUAAUUGAACAAAAGCUGCUUGUAAAUUGAAUCUCAAUUCAUAUGACAACCUGGUUGGUCGAAAACAUUAAACUUGAGAUCAAAUAUAUUUAAUUAUUUCUCUAGGAAGGGAGAGGGAGAAGGAGAGGGAGAAAGAGAGAGAGAGAACGGGAGGAGAGAGAGGGAAAGAGAGAGAGAG
RNAcentral lists this long non-coding RNA (861 nucleotides) under Phoenix dactylifera (date palm). Its description in RNAcentral is "long non-coding RNA (PDAC_LNC017420)". Lineage: Eukaryota; Viridiplantae; Streptophyta; Magnoliopsida; Arecales; Arecaceae. The record is from RNAcentral.